RNAcentral lists this ribosomal RNA (465 nucleotides) under uncultured bacterium. RNAcentral describes it as "bacterial SSU rRNA". It matches the Rfam family "Bacterial small subunit ribosomal RNA", at positions 338 to 795 of the family's 1533-position model. The record is from RNAcentral.
CCUACGGGGGGCAGCAGUCGAGAAUAAUUCACAAUGGGGGCAACCCUGAUGGUGCAACGCCGCGUGGAGGAUGAAGGUCUUCGGAUUGUAAACUCCUGUCAUCCGGGAGAAAGACCUGGGAGUUAACAGCUCACAGGGUUGAUAGUACCGGAAGAGGAAGGGACGGCUAACUUCGUGCCAGCAGCCGCGGUAAUACGAAGGUCCCGAGCGUUAUUCGGAAUCACUGGGCGUAAAGGGAGCGUAGGCGGUGCGGUAAGUCAGAUGUGAAAUCCCGGGGCUCAACCCCGGAACUGCAUCCGAUACUGCCGUACUUGAGCAAUGGAGAGGUAACUGGAAUUCUCGGUGUAGCAGUGAAAUGCGUAGAUAUCGAGAGGAACACUCGUGGCGAAAGCGAGUUACUGGACAUUUGCUGACGCUGAGGCUCGAAGGCUAGGGGAGCAAAAGGGAUUAGAUACCCCAGUAGUC